AACAAAAAGAUAUAACAAUUAUAAAUAUUUAUGCACCCAAUAUGGAAGCACCCAAAUACAUAAACCAGUUAAUAACAAACAUAAAGCAACUAAUUGAUAUUAAUAUAAUGAUAGUAGGGGGCUUUAAUACCCCACUUACAUUAAUGGACAGAUCAUCUAAAUAACAAGGAAACAGUGGUUUUAAAUGACACACUGUAUUUAACAGAUAUAUUUAACAGAUGUAUUUAACAGAUAUAUUCAGGACACUACAUAAAACAUCAGAAUACACAUUCUUUUCAAGUGCUUAAGGAACAUUCUCCAGCAUAGAUCACAUAGAGACCACAAAACAAGUCUCAACAAAUUAAAAAAUAUUGAAGUCAUACCAUGCAUGUUUUCUGACCAUAACACUAUGAAACUAGAAGUCAA
This is a long non-coding RNA of Herpailurus yagouaroundi (jaguarundi), 405 nucleotides long. RefSeq lists it as uncharacterized. Lineage: Eukaryota; Metazoa; Chordata; Mammalia; Carnivora; Felidae. The record is from RefSeq and is a predicted model, not a curated record. The transcript is spliced from 2 exons.